This 467-nucleotide ribosomal RNA is filed under the name uncultured bacterium. RNAcentral describes it as "bacterial SSU rRNA". It matches the Rfam family "Bacterial small subunit ribosomal RNA", at positions 30 to 490 of the family's 1533-position model. The record is from RNAcentral.
AUUGAACGCUGGCGGCAUGCCUUACACAUGCAAGUCGAACGGCAGCACGGGAGCAAUCCUGGUGGCGAGUGGCGAACGGGUGAGUAAUAUAUCGGAACGUGCCCAGUCGUGGGGAUAACGUAGCGAAAGCUACGCUAAUACCGCAUACGAUCUAUGGAUGAAAGCGGGGGAUCGCAAGACCUCGCGCGAUUGGAGCGGCCGAUAUCAGAUUAGGUAGUUGGUGAGGUAAAGGCUCACCAAGCCGACGAUCUGUAGCUGGUCUGAGAGGACGACCAGCCACACUGGGACUGAGACACGGCCCAGACUCCUACGGGAGGCAGCAGUGGGGAAUUUUGGGACAAUGGGCGCAAGCCUGAUCCAGCAAUGCCGCGUGCAGGAUGAAGGCCUUCGGGUUGUAACUAGCUUUGUUACGGAACGAAACGGUGAGCUCUAAUACAGUUUGCUAAUGACGGUACCGUAAGAAUAAG